CACCCAUUUAGCGAACAAUAAUGACGGAAGGGUGCGUACGUACAAUGGACGAACGACGUAGGGCACACCCUGCCUCACUCUCUGCCUUUGGAAUAAGCUCUGGACCACCAUGACCCUGCAUUCACCAGGGAUUGUAUGUCCCCUUGCAUAACUCCAUAUUAAAAGACGCACAUGGUCUGGAAACUUAAAAAGUAUACUUGCCUGCAGUGAAUUCCAUGGAUGCAUCAUGUCCUCUGGACCACUCAAUGUGUAAAUGACCCUGGAUGAUCCUGCAUGACAUGCUGUUGUCCAGUGCCAAUUCACAUGGAUGCACACUCAUCCAGUCAUACCAACGGGCUAUUGAAGUGGAACAGGUGAUCUGAAAUAUUUUUCAUAUAAAGUUGUGUAAUUCUUACCCAUUUCAAAUUCAAAUUUUGUCACAUACACAACCAUACACAGUAUGAUGUGCAGUGAAAUGCUUUAUACAGCUGACAUAACAAUCUAAAAGGACAAAUAACAGGUACUAAAAUCAAAAAAAAAAUCUAUUUAUGCAUAUGUAAGAGCAAAAUAUAUAAAUAUCUAUAAACAGAUGUGCAACAAAUUAUAAAAAUUUGUGUGGCAUAAGAUGUAGUGCAAUAUGGUUUGUGCAGGAUCACACAGCUAGUUCAGUUUGAGUUUGUAUAUAUGAAAUGGAAUAGCAGAGGUGGAGUGGUUCCUGGAGGUGACUGGUUUUUAGUCCUUGGUGUUGUAUUGGUUGAGGGCCCAAACAGCCUGAGGGAAGAAACUCCUCUUCAUCCUCUCUGUGUUGGCCUUUAGGGAGCGGAAAUGCUUCACUGACCGCAACAGAGAGAAGAGUCCGUUCCUUGAAUGGCUGAGGUCUUUCACUAUUUUCCUGGCCUUGUUCCAGCAUCACUUGCUGUAGAUAGACUGCAGGUCAGGGAGCUCCAUUCGGAUGGUACAUUCAGCUGAACGCACCACCUUCUGUAGAGCCCGUCUGUCCUGCUGGGUGCUGUUCCCAAACCAGACUGUGAUGCUUCCUGUCAGGAUACUCUCAAUGGUGCAGGUGUAAAAGUUCCUUACCACCUUAGAGGGCAGUCUGAAGUCUCUCAGGUGUCUAAGGUGGUAGAGAUGCUGCUGGGCCUUCUUCACCAAGGUGUUAACAUGACAGGACAUGACAAGUCCUGCAUGAUGUGAACACCCAGGUACCGGAAACUGUCCACUCUCUCCACUGGAGUCCCAUUGAUCAUGAGGGGUUGGUAGCUCCUCUUUUGCUUUGUGCUGAAGUCCACAAUCAACUCCUUAGUCUUGCUGACAUUCAUGAGGUGGUUGUUUUCCUGGCACCAGUGCUCCAGGCGUGUUAUCUCCUCCAGGUAGGCCUUCUCGUUGUCAGAGAUCAGGCCCACCGCAACAGUGUCGUCAGCAAAUUUGAUUAUGGUGAUGGAGUUGGAAGUGGCCACGCAGUCAUAUGUGUACAGUGAGUACAGCAGGGGACUCAGAACACAACCCUGUGGGGCUCCAGUGCUGAGGGUGAGGGUGGGUGAGGCAUGUCUGCCCACCUGAACUGCUUGUGGUCUGUCCGUGAGAAAGUUGGGAGAUCCACUGGCAAAGAGAUGAGCUCAGUCCCAGGUCCUCCAACUUGGUGGUGAGUUUGGAGGGAAUUAUGGUGUUAAAUGCUGAGCUGUAGUCAACAAACAGCAUUUUAACAUAAUUUCCCUUCCUGGUGUCCAGAUGACUCAGUGCUGUGUAAAGGAGGUACACGAUGGCAUCCUCUGUGGAACGGUUGGAAUGGUAUGCAAACUGAAGUGGGUCCAGUGUGUCAGGUAAUGAAGAGGUGAAGUCUCUGACCAGUCUCUCAAAGCACUUCAUCACAACUGAAGUCAGGGCUACUGGGCGAUAGUCGUUGAGGCAGGCAAGCUGUGGUGUCUUCGGGACAGGGACAAUGGUAGACUGCUUGAAGCAUGUGGGGAUUGUUGAGUGCUCCAGGGAGAGGUUGAAUAUCUCCGUGAACACCAGUGCUAGCUGGUCCAUGCAGCUCUUAGGACCUGACCUGAGAUGCCAUCUGGUCCUGCUGCCUUCCUGGUGUUCGCCCUCCUCACCUCAUGUUCUGAGAUGGUGAAAGCAUUAUCCGCCCUGGCAUUGUCUGCAUGCAAGCUGGCAAUUGCGCUGAUAGCCCCAUUAGCACCUUCAGCAACGGCAGCGCUGUUAGUGCCGGUAGCAGCAUUAGCUGCAGCUUCGAAGCAAGCGUAGAAGGUGUUUAUCUCGUCUGCCAGAGAAGCAUCUGCAUUCACCAUUCUGGAGGAUGGUGCUUUGUAGUCUGUAAUUGUUCUUAGUCCCUGCCAUAGGCUUCUAGAGUCACUCUGCUGGAACUGUGACCCUAGUUUCCUUCUAUAGCGCUACUUUGCCUCCUUCACCGCUCUGCGCAUGUUGUAGGACGCAGCCUUGUACUCCUCCAUGUUCCUGGUAGCAAGCCCCAUGUUGUAGGCAGCGGUGUGAGAUCUCAGAGCGUCGCGGAUGGUUUUGUCCACCCACGGCUUCUGGUUGGGAAGCGUUUUGAUGAUUGUUUUGUUCACUGAAUCCCACAACCACUUCCGUAAAUUCGUUGUCAUCAGAGCUUUGCCGGAACAUGUCCCAGUCUGCGUCUUCUAGCACGUCCUGCAAGGUGGCCACUGAUUGGUCCGUCCAGCGUGCGACCUCCCUCUUGACCGGAGCUUCCUGUUUCAGCCUUUGUUUGUAUCUAGGCAUGAGGAAGAUGGUGGCAUGGUCUUAUUUCCCAAACGGUGGAAGAGACUGUGCCUUGUAGCCCCCUUUGAAUGGUGUGUAACAGUGGUCUAGUAUCCUUUCGCCCCUGGUGGGGCAGCUAAUGUGCUGGUGGAGAUUUGGCACUACGCGUUUGAGGUUGGCACUGUUGAAGUCCCCAGCCACAAUGAGCGCAGUGUCUGGAUGAACAGUCUGUGUGUAGGUGAGCGCUUCAUGUGUCGCACCAGCUGCUGUUCACCAUUAAACAUACUCCACUUGACUUCCCUGACUCAAGUGUUCUGUCCAUGCGAUAAACCGAGAAGAACUCAUCCGGCUGGAUGGCUGGGGUCAGCCAUGUCUCCGUGAAGGAGAGGAGGUUGCAGUCCCGAAUGUCUCUCUGGAACUUAACCUGGGCUCUGAGGACGUCCAGCUUGUUUUCCAGAGACUGGACGUUGGCUAACGGGAUACUAGGCAGGGGAGUGCAGUGUGUGCGAGCCCUCAGCCUGUUCCUGACGCUGGCUCGUUUUCUUCGGGGUCUGCGCCACGUGUCGCGUCCUUUGUUCGUUCUCAGGAUCUCAGUCGGCCAGCUGGGAGCUGGUGUUAAAGUCGUAUGGUGGGUGGCAUGUGUACCAAUAGAAAUAAGAGUAUUUCUAUCGUAGCUGAUAGAUUCUGAACAUCCUACUGAAAUUACACAAAUUUCGGCAAGUAAGACAAGCUUGCCAAAAUUUGUCCAAGAUAGAGACCAAUACCUGGACUGUAGCAGUACCUUCAUUCAUCAAUACAAAUCAGAUUUUGCAAAAUAUGCACAGUGGAAGGCUAUAGUAACACAGCAUGGCAUUGAGAAAGGAACUCUGUGGUCACACGGUAGAUAUUCCAGAAUCUGAAGAUAGUGACCAGGUCAGGAAGAAGCAUAUCUCGUCACUCAUCUACAAGAUCAGUCACUGAAACCUUCCUUUUGUAGGCUUCCCAUCUUCUUCCAUAAGUGGUUCACAGAGAAGCUUUCCAGUACUUGCUUUACCUGUAGACUUUACCUGAAAAUGCUGGAAUACCUGCAAUUCAGAAGAUAGCAUAUGACAGUCUCGAUGUCAUUAUGCCUUUUUGGCAGAUAUCUCGCACAGACACUGACCAGGCAAAAUGCAGUGCUGCAUUUUUUGAAACUCCAUGACAAGCACAGAACUCUAAUGAAAAACAAGAGGAGACAAAGUGACCCAGGAGGAUGUGUUAAAAUUGGGGAGUCUGUUUGAUGAAGGAGCCCCAGAUGCAGUUCAGGAAAUAGAGCAGAAUAGACCACUAAGCAAAGAGGAAAAAGAUGAGGACAUAGUUCCACAUUGACCGAAGAACUGACAGAAGACAUCAUAUGUCUGAACAUGACAAAAUUUGACACGAGGGCUAUUCAAUGGACAAUUAGGAUAGAACGAUUACAACAGAGAGAAGAACAUGGUAAGAUAUCUGUAUGAUUAUAGAACUUAAUGAAUGUUACUUUCUAUAACUAACUGGAAAAGUGUUUAAAAUUAACUUACACUGUACCAUUUAACAAUUGCAGAUGAACAUGCAGCAGCAGAUCUGUACAAUAACAUCACUGAUCAUUCUGAGGCAUCUGACAGUGACAAGAAUACAAGUGACAUGGAACUAACGAUCCAGAAGUCCAAAGCACCAGGGAUAUGUUAUAGGUUAUUGAGUACAAUAGACAACAGUUUGAGAGUUUCGGGAAAAGUUGUCUCUGUGACUGAAAAGUUAAUGUUUCAUAUGGUUAAGCAUUACAUGUUUUUAUGAUGUUUUUGGUUAUUAAUUUUGAAAGGACAUUUUAGACUGUAAUAUAGCUUAGAAAAUUAAGCUAAACACACACUGUCUACAACUGCUUGUCCCGAGGUGAACCAGUGCCUAACAAGGGGCGCAAGGCUGGAGGAAGAGGGGACACACCCUGGACUGGAUGCCAAUCUGCCACAAUUGGCACCCAGAAGUGUGGAAGAAAACUCCUGUAGCAAUAAAACCACUCAAGUGGUCACUGAGUGAAAUUCUCCUUGAUGGCAUUUACUCUUGAAAUGUAGUUUUGUCACUAAUAACACGAUGGCUUUUUUCCUCGUCCUCUUUUAGCUGCAGUGAAUCAGGCCAUUCGCUCUGUAAAGAACAGACUGAAGAACUGUUUCCCUGGAACACUUAUACAUUUAUGCUGAUAUUCAACAGAGAAAGAUAUUCUUAUGUUCCUGGACAAUAAGUAAGUAAUAAUGAUCACAAACAAGGUGGCAGAGACAAGUGACCUGCUGAGGAGACUUACUUUUUAAUGUGGGACACUCUGUCAACAUUCUCCUUAGAAAUUAUCCUGUAAUUUCAGGUUAUCUGCAGAAAUUAAAUUGAUUUCUAAUGAGCUGAUGUUUCAUUAUUGUUUUUUCAACUGGCCACAUGGAGUUUUGUUAGUUAAUGGUGCCAUGACAACUACAUUAUAAUGUAUUGCUGUUCAAGACUGCUAGGGGGUGGUCUACAGCAAUUACUCCCAGGUUGAAAGUGAGUCUUGCUGCGGUUGAGAGCCUAUCGCAGAAUUGCUGCGGGGAACACCAUGGAUGGGACACCAGUCCAUUGCAGUGUAGUCACACAUGCACACCUAUUCACACACUAUGGCCAAAUUAAUAUCACCAGUUCACCUUAACUGCAGGUCUUUGGAAUGUUAAAAGGAACCCAGAGCAUUCCCACACAGACAUGGGAAGAACAUAAAAACUUCACACAGACUGAGCCAGCUUCAAAUCUAUGCUCAAACAGCUCAAGUACUGUCAGAUGACAGUGGUACCCACUGCAACACCAUGCUGCCCAAUAAAAUGUCUAAUAUUUUAAUUAUUUUUUAAAUAUUAAAAAAAUUACAUUAGCUAUGCGUAAGUUUAGUAAAUCCAGUCUGCUUGCACUCCACGUGGGUUCCACGCUAGUAGAAGAAUUUUUACAAACAGCCAUCAUUGUCUUAAUGAGUACAAUGAGUCCUCACUCUGCCGGGGAGGUGAGUGACCUCUUAACUGAGUGGCACUGCAUUGUGUCCCACCACACUCUGCACUCCCUCUCUUCAAUCAUGAUCUCUAUCUUGCAUUUAAAUAUGUUUUGGUGUUUGCAUUUAAGCAGCUGC
This is a long non-coding RNA of Scleropages formosus (Asian bonytongue), 5821 nucleotides long. RefSeq lists it as uncharacterized. NCBI's taxonomy places the organism in Eukaryota, Metazoa, Chordata, Actinopteri, Osteoglossiformes, Osteoglossidae. The transcript has 3 exons. The record is from RefSeq and is a predicted model, not a curated record.